This 328-nucleotide ribosomal RNA is filed under the name uncultured eukaryote. Its description in RNAcentral is "partial 18S ribosomal RNA". It matches the Rfam family "Eukaryotic small subunit ribosomal RNA", at positions 1470 to 1796 of the family's 1831-position model. The record is from RNAcentral.
CCCUUAGAUGUCCUGGGCCGCUCGCGCGUUACACUGAUGCAUUCAACGAGCUUAUAACCUUGGCCGAGAGGCCUGGGCAAUCUUGUUAACGUGCAUCGUGAUAGGGAUAGAUUAUUGAAAUUAUUAAUCUUGAACGAGGAAUUCCUAGUAAACGCAGAUCAUCAAUCUGCAUUGAUUACGUCCCUGCCCUUUGUACACACCGCCCGUCGCACCUACCGAUUGGAUGGUCCGGUGAAGCCUCGGGAUUGUGGUUCUUGCCGCUUUAUUGUGGCGUGACCGCGAGAACUUGUCUAAACCUUAUCAUCUAGAGGAAGGUGAAGUCGUAACA